AGAUAAUUAGCCCCAGCACUUGACCUCCACUCAAGACCUCUUAGAUAAAACCCAUGAUUAUCUA
RNAcentral lists this transfer RNA (64 nucleotides) under Drepane punctata (spotted sicklefish). Its description in RNAcentral is "tRNA-Gly". Lineage: Eukaryota; Metazoa; Chordata; Actinopteri; Ephippiformes; Drepaneidae. The record is from RNAcentral. RNAcentral also lists the same sequence under 1 other name.